AGGUCAUUUCAGAGAGGGCUGAUGGAAACAAAUCCCAGAGCCCUUAACACUGACCAAAGAUUGAGUUCUCCGCUGGAUAUAGUAGUCACUUGAUGGUGUUAUGUUUCCUGAUGGAGAUACAAGU
This is a small nucleolar RNA of Capra hircus (goat), 124 nucleotides long. Lineage: Eukaryota; Metazoa; Chordata; Mammalia; Artiodactyla; Bovidae. The record is from Ensembl.